RNAcentral lists this ribosomal RNA (492 nucleotides) under uncultured bacterium. RNAcentral's name for it is "partial 16S ribosomal RNA". It matches the Rfam family "Bacterial small subunit ribosomal RNA", at positions 29 to 507 of the family's 1533-position model. The record is from RNAcentral.
AGUGAACGCUGGCGGUAGGCCUAACACAUGCAAGUCGAACGGCAGCACAGUAAGAGCUUGCUCUUACGGGUGGCGAGUGGCGGACGGGUGAGGAAUACAUCGGAAUCUACUUUUUCGUGGGGGAUAACGUAGGGAAACUUACGCUAAUACCGCAUACGACCUACGGGUGAAAGCAGGGGAUCUUCGGACCUUGCGCGAUUGAAUGAGCCGAUGUCGGAUUAGCUAGUUGGCGGGGUAAAGGCCCACCAAGGCGACGAUCCGUAGCUGGUCUGAGAGGAUGAUCAGCCACACUGGAACUGAGACACGGUCCAGACUCCUACGGGAGGCAGCAGUGGGGAAUAUUGGGCAAUGGGCGCAAGCCUGAUCCAGCCAUACCGCGUGAGUGAAGAAGGCCUUCGGGUUGUAAAGCCCUUUUGUUGGGAAAGAAAAGCAGCAGGUUAAUACCCCGAUGUUCUGACGGUACCCAAAGAAUAAGCACCGGCUAACUUCGUG